AAACAUACUUAAUAAUUAAAACCAUAAAUAAAACUGAAAAUUCAAAAAUAAAUAAAUUUUAUAAGAAAAAGCUUAAUACUUUAUGCAUUUGGUACAUCACCAAAAUUGCAUCAAGUAGUGUGAUAAACUGUAAAUAACGUUGAACUCGCGGGUUUUCCGGAUUGCCUCUAUACAUAUGAUAAAGUUUCUUCAAGAUAUCCAAACGAUUUUUAACACAUCUCCAACUCAAAUUUUUUCCAAACGUUAAUAUUCUUAAGAAUAUUUUCUUUUUGAACAUCACUUAGAAAUCUGAUUUUGGGGUCUUUGGAUUCUUCCGUUUAUUUCUCCACAAUAACCUGUUGCAGUAACGCAAAUGUGGUCUCGUUUGACCAAAUGAUUUUCUAAUCGAGAAAACAAAUCAAAACAUGUAUUCAAUCAAAAAACUCAAAAAAAAACAAA
This 438-nucleotide small RNA is filed under the name Arabidopsis thaliana (thale cress). RNAcentral's name for it is "ATSL257630". The record is from RNAcentral. Lineage: Eukaryota; Viridiplantae; Streptophyta; Magnoliopsida; Brassicales; Brassicaceae.